UCCUCGGUAGCUCAGUUGGUAGAGCAAGCGGCUGUUAACCGCUGGGUCGUAGGUUCGAGUCCUACCCGGGGAGCCA
Molecule: transfer RNA, 76 nt
Filed under: Rhizobiales bacterium NRL2
Lineage: Bacteria; Pseudomonadati; Pseudomonadota; Alphaproteobacteria; Hyphomicrobiales
Also listed under: 6 other names
Description: tRNA-Asn
Rfam family: tRNA
About the family: Transfer RNA (tRNA) molecules are approximately 80 nucleotides in length. Their secondary structure includes four short double-helical elements and three loops (D, anti-codon, and T loops).
Source: RNAcentral